Molecule: ribosomal RNA, 323 nt
Filed under: Pelinobius muticus (king baboon spider)
Lineage: Eukaryota; Metazoa; Arthropoda; Arachnida; Araneae; Theraphosidae
Description: partial 12S ribosomal RNA
Source: RNAcentral
UCUUAAUCCGAUAAUCCGCGUUAAUUUUUUCUUUCCUUUAAAGCAUUUAUAUCGCCGUCCAAAGAAACAAAUAAAAUUUUGCUUCGAAAGAGACCAAUCUACUACGUCAGGUCGAAAUAAAGCCUAUAGGAAAGUGAACCGAGUUACAUAUUUUCCUUAUUAUUAUAUUUCAUUCCAAAGAAUGCAUAACUAGGAUUUGACAGUAAUAUUAAAAUAAUUUCUUUAUAUGAAAAUUUUAUCAAGGUGUACAUAUCGCCCGUCACCCUCAUCCAAAGAUGAGGUAAGUCGUAACAUAGUUAAUAUACUGGAAAGUGUAUUAAGGG